Molecule: ribosomal RNA, 214 nt
Filed under: uncultured Lactobacillus sp.
Lineage: Bacteria; Bacillati; Bacillota; Bacilli; Lactobacillales; Lactobacillaceae
Description: partial 16S ribosomal RNA
Rfam family: Bacterial small subunit ribosomal RNA
Source: RNAcentral
AUUUAGGAAACAGAUGCUAAUACCGGAUAAAAGCUACUUUCGCAUGAAAGAAGUUAAAGGCGGCGUAAGCUGUCGCUAAAGGAUGGACCUGCGAUGCAUUAGCUAGUUGGUAAGGUAACGGCUUACCAAGGCGAUGAUGCAUAGCCGAGUUGAGAGACUGAUCGGCCACAUUGGGACUGAGACACGGCCCAAACUCCUACGGGAGGCAGCAGCA